This 497-nucleotide ribosomal RNA is filed under the name uncultured bacterium. RNAcentral's name for it is "partial 16S ribosomal RNA". It matches the Rfam family "Bacterial small subunit ribosomal RNA", at positions 28 to 507 of the family's 1533-position model. The record is from RNAcentral.
GAUGAACGCUGGCGGCGUGCCUAAUACAUGCAAGUCGAGCGAACAGACGAGGAGCUUGCUCCUCUGACGUUAGCGGCGGACGGGUGAGUAACACGUGGAUAACCUACCUAUAAGACUGGGAUAACUUCGGGAAACCGGAGCUAAUACCGGAUAAUAUAUUGAACCGCAUGGUUCAAUAGUGAAAGACGGUUUUGCUGUCACUUAUAGAUGGAUCCGCGCCGCAUUAGCUAGUUGGUAAGGUAACGGCUUACCAAGGCAACGAUGCGUAGCCGACCUGAGAGGGUGAUCGGCCACACUGGAACUGAGACACGGUCCAGACUCCUACGGGAGGCAGCAGUAGGGAAUCUUCCGCAAUGGGCGAAAGCCUGACGGAGCAACGCCGCGUGAGUGAUGAAGGUCUUCGGAUCGUAAAACUCUGUUAUUAGGGAAGAACAAAUGUGUAAGUAAAUAUGCACGUCUUGACGGUACAUAAUCAGAAAGCCAAGGCUAACUACGUG